GAAGAAUAUUGGGCAAUGGGGGAAACCCUGACCCAGCAACGCCGCGUGAAGGAUGAAGGUUUUCGGAUUGUAAACCUCUUUUGUCGAGGACGAAAAAAAUGACGGUACUCGGCGAAUAAGCCACGGCUAACUACGUGCCAGCAGCCGCGGUAAUACGUAGGUGGCGAGCGUUAUCCGGAUUUACUGGGUGUAAAGGGCGAGUAGGCGGGAUUGUAAGUCAGAUGUGAAAUCUGGGGGCUCAACCCCCAAACUGCAUUUGAAACUAUGAUUCUUGAGUGAUGGAGAGGCAGGCGGAAUUCCCGGUGUAGCGGUGGAAUGCGUAGAUAUCGGGAGGAACACCAAUGGCGAAGGCGGCCUGCUGGACAUUAACUGACGCUGAGGAGCGAAAGCGUGGGGAGCAAAC
Molecule: ribosomal RNA, 403 nt
Filed under: uncultured bacterium
Lineage: Bacteria
Description: bacterial SSU rRNA
Rfam family: Bacterial small subunit ribosomal RNA
Source: RNAcentral